GUUCUCUUCAGCAGAACAUAUGCUAAAAUUGGAAUGAUUCAGAGAUGAGCAUGGCCCCUGUGCAAGGAGGACAUGUAAUUUAGUGAAGCUUUCCAUAUGUGA
Molecule: small nuclear RNA, 102 nt
Organism: Castor canadensis (American beaver)
Lineage: Eukaryota; Metazoa; Chordata; Mammalia; Rodentia; Castoridae
Source: Ensembl